Molecule: long non-coding RNA, 1379 nt
Filed under: Homo sapiens (human)
Lineage: Eukaryota; Metazoa; Chordata; Mammalia; Primates; Hominidae
Description: HSALNT0303268
Source: RNAcentral
CUUUUGCUCCUGUGAGGAUGGCCCCAUGCAGACCUGUUUCCCAGGUAGCAGUCCCAAGAGCAGCAGGUUUUGGACAAUGGUCAUGAAUAUCUUUUAUCUGACAGGCACUCUGCUCUAGGAUGCUGGAGAAGUGAGACUUUUAUUUGCCAGUGAAGACUCAAUAUAGCAACAAAAGAACAAAGAGAUGUGAUAGUCUUCCUCCAGGGGCCAGUUUUCUUCUGGAUGAAUGCAUUUGGUCAUCAAGAAUGUCUCAAGACUUUCAAUGGCCUUAUUUUAUACUACCUCAGGCCUCUCAUCUGCAUUCACAGACUUCAAAUAUGUAUAACCAGUAUAACAUUUUUGAAAUACUUUCCAACAUGUUUCCUUGUACCUCAUACCUCUUCUGCAUUUCAGCUUCAUUGAAACAGAGAGGACAGGUGCUACUUGUGAAAAAGGAGAAUAUAACAAGGAAAAAUCCUCUCCUUCCCCUUGGAGGUCUGAAGAAGAAAGGACAUAGAGACAGGGCAGUAGGCAGUCAUGUGUGUGCUUAGAACUCCGUACUCCAAGGUGAUAAGUUAAAUCUGAAGAGAGGAAGGUGACCAACAGAGUUAGGAAGACACAGUGCCAUGGUCAGGUUGAGAGAAGGACUUCUAAGUAGCCUUCAGUUCCCAUGUGUCAUAGACUCUGAAUAGAGAGCCACAGGGCCUUCCUGGAGACAGGAUAACCCCACAGCCUUCUCCAGAAACCCUUUAGAGGACUUACAGAGACUCAGAGGGAUCUACAGAGUCAGUAAGGAUCAAAAGGAGGCCAGACAAUGGAGGGAAAGCUCUUGACCAUGGCAGAGCUGUGAAACCUAUCACAAAUUUAUCAGCUGCAGAAUGUCUAGAGAAGGCGGCCAGCUAGAGCAGAUUCCAGUGAUGCCAGGCAGCACCCACUCAGGGAGAAUCAUGGGGAGACCUUUUCUUUCUGGAUCUGUGAAGAUCUUUCUCCCCAUCUCAGACACCAUCCGAAGAGAGGGCAGAGGUGUAGAGAAGAAAGAAAUAAUACUUCAAAGAGACAGGUUACUCAACUGGACUAAGUUUUGAACCAGACUGCAUUAAAACUAGGGCAGUGGUGGUGGUUGUUUUCAUUACACCAAUCAGGUAGAAUACAAAAGGAUAUCAGAACAAAUUCAGAAAACAUGGAAACUACUUUUUCUGCACACCUCAGUAUAAUGCAAGUAAUUCUGUGAUCCUAAUAUGUAUGAAAUCAUUGAAUAGAUAAAGCUAAGAGGACAACAAAGUAUGGAGUGGUAUGAUGAGUCUAUGAGAAGGUAAAUGAUUUUCAGACAAUUCAAAUUCUCUAGCGAAUUUGUUGUCACAAAAUACACUGUAAUUAAACUGCAUUGGCCUUGGGCAAAA